UAGAAGAUGGCUGUGCGUCUGAUUAGCUAGUUGGUACGGUAGUGGCGUACCAAGGCGACGAUCAGUAGGGGGCGUGAGAGCGUGGUCCCCCACACGGGUACUGAGACACGGACCCGACUCCUACGGGAGGCAGCAGUAAGGAAUAUUGGACAAUGCCCGGAAGGGUGAUCCAGCCAUUCCGCGUGGAGGAAGACGGCCUUAUGGGUUGUAAACUCCUUUUAGAUGGGAAGAAACCCUGGAUAUAAAUCUGGGCUGACGGUACCAUCAGAAUAAGCACCGGCUAACUCCGUGCCAGCAGCCGCAGUAAUACGGAGGGUGCAAAGCGUUAUCCGGAAUCACUGGGUUUAAAGGGUGCGUAGGCGGUUGAAUAAGUCAGAGGUGAAAUGCUGCAGCUUAACUGUAGAAUUGCCUUUGAUACUGUUUAACUUGAAUCGAGAUGAGGUAGACGGAAUGUGACAAGUAGCGGUGAAAUGCAUAGAUAUGUCAUAGAAGGCCGAUUGCGAAGGCAGGUUACUAGGCUUAGAUUGACGCUGAGGCACGAAAGCGUGGGGAGCGACCAGGAUUAGAUACCCUGGUAGUCCACGCCGUAGACGAUGCUAACUCGUCGUGUGUAUCGAAGAUUUGCCCGGCCAAGGGAACUCGAUAAGUUAGCCACCUGGGGAAUACGUUCGCAAGAAUGAUACUCAAAGGAAUUAACGGGGGUACGCACAACCGCUGAGCUAUCUGGUUUAAUUCGAUGAUACGCGAGGGACCUACACUGGGCUCGAAUGGUUAGUGCAACUGUGAGAAAUCACGGGUUCAUUCGGGACGCUAAUCAAGGUUGCUGCAUGGUCGUCGUCAGCUCGUGCCGUGAGGUGUUGGGUUUAGUCCCGCAACGAGCGCAACCCCUGGGUUUAGUUACCAGCUACGUAGAGUUGGGGACUCUAGACCGACUGCCGGCGUUAAGCCGCGAGGAAGGUGUGGAUGACGUCAAAUCAUCAUGGCCUUUAUGUCCAGGGCUACACACGUGCUACAAUGGUCAGUACAGAGGGUAUCGAAGCCGCGAGGUGGAGACAAUAUUUAAAAGCUGAUCGUAGUUCGGAUUGGAGUCU
Molecule: ribosomal RNA, 1091 nt
Filed under: uncultured organism
Description: bacterial SSU rRNA
Rfam family: Bacterial small subunit ribosomal RNA
Source: RNAcentral